Molecule: ribosomal RNA, 898 nt
Filed under: uncultured Nitrososphaerota archaeon
Lineage: Archaea; Thermoproteati; Nitrososphaerota
Description: bacterial SSU rRNA
Rfam family: Archaeal small subunit ribosomal RNA
Source: RNAcentral
CCGGUUGAUCCCGCCGGACCUAACUGCUAUCGGAUUAGGAUUAAGCCAUGCGAGUUUCACAUUUCUUGACUAUGUAAGAAGUGUGGCGGACGGCUCAGUAACACGUAGCUAAUCUACCCUAAAGUCUAAGAUAAACCCGGGAAACUGGGCAUAAUAUUUGAUAUAUCAAAUAUCCUGGAAUGGUUUUUGGUAUAAAGAUAAUUAAUACAUGUUUUGAUUAUUGCUCUAGGAUGAGACUGCGUCCGAUCAGGUUGUUGGUGGGGUAAUGGCCCACCAAGCCUAUAACCGGUACGGGCUUUGAAAGAAGUUGCCCGGAGAUGGACACUGAGAUAAGGGUCUAGGCCCUACGGGGCGCAGCAGGCGCGAAAACUUCGCAAUGCGCGAAAGCGUGACGAGGCUAUUCCGAGUGCUAUCCUUUUUUGGAUGGCUUUUGCUAGGUGUAGAUAGCCUAGAGAAUAAGGGGGGGGCAAGUCUGGUGUCAGCCGCCGCGGUAAUACCAGCUCCUCGAGUGGUUAGGACGUUUAUUGGGCCUAAAGCAUCCGUAGCCGGUUUUAUUGGUCUUCUAUUAAAUCUAAUAGCUUAACUAUUUGACUGUAGGGGAUACCAUAAGACUAGGAGGCGGGAGAGGCGGACGGUAUUUUGUGGGUAGGGGUAAAAUCCUUUGAUCCAUAGAGGACCACCAGUGGCGAAGGCGGUCCGCCAGAACGCGCUCGACGGUGAGGGAUGAAAGCUGGGGGAGCGAACCGGAUUAGAUACCCGGGUAGUCCCAGCUGUAAACGAUGCAAGCUAGGUGGAUGGGAUGAUUUAAGUUAUCCCUGUGCCGCAGGAAAGCCGUUAAGCUUGCCGCCUGGGGAGUACGGUCGCAAGACUGAAACUUAAAGGAAUUGGCGGGGGAGCA